UUGGAGGGAAAACAACAAUGGGACAUAGUGGACUCUGGAUUCAAGAUUUGCGCUCUAGUUCUAAAGAGAGAAGCAGGUAGACCAAGGAAGAGUCGAAUCAGACCUCGCAACGAAGGAGGUGGACAUGGAGCGAGGCUGCGUAAGUGCACAAGGUGUGGUGGGUCUAGUAAUUCCGGUAAGUAUUGUGAUAACAAAGUAGAUCCAGCGUUCGGAGAGUACUUCGAUGAAGGCUUCGAUGAAAAUGUUGGUCAGCGGCCGGUUGCAACAGAUGAUGAAAAUGAUGGUCAACAGUCGGUUGCAACAGAUGAGGAUUUUGACGAGGUUCCAAAUGAUGAUGGUCAACAGCCACAUGAUUUCGACGAUGAUCCAAAAUAUCCUCCAAAUGAUGUUCCAGGUGAAGCUCCAAAUGAUGAUCCAAGUGAGGAUCCAAAUGGUGAUCCUUGUGAGGCUCCAAAUGGUGAUCCAAGUGAGGCUCCAAAUGAUGAUCCAAGUGAGGCUCCAAAUGGUGACCAACCUUCUGUCACUGUGAGUUCUGCUUGGCAUGUAAAUCUUGCCAAUAGUAUUGUACAUUUAUCACUUGACAUGAUCUCAUUACCCUUUAUGUUUUGUACAACUCUUCGGUAG
This 624-nucleotide ribosomal RNA is filed under the name Triticum aestivum (bread wheat). RNAcentral's name for it is "partial small subunit ribosomal RNA". Lineage: Eukaryota; Viridiplantae; Streptophyta; Magnoliopsida; Poales; Poaceae. The record is from RNAcentral.